This is a non-coding RNA of Dipodomys ordii (Ord's kangaroo rat), 72 nucleotides long. The record is from Rfam. Lineage: Eukaryota; Metazoa; Chordata; Mammalia; Rodentia; Heteromyidae.
GGGAAGGUGGCUCAGUGGUAGAGAGCUUGCCUUGUAUGCAUGAGGCCCUGGGUUCGAUUCCUGACCACCACA